RNAcentral lists this ribosomal RNA (433 nucleotides) under uncultured bacterium. Its description in RNAcentral is "partial 16S ribosomal RNA". It matches the Rfam family "Bacterial small subunit ribosomal RNA", at positions 29 to 507 of the family's 1533-position model. The record is from RNAcentral.
AACGAACGCUGGCGGCAGGCCUAACACAUGCAAGUCGAGCGGACCCUUCGGGGUUAGCGGCUGACGGGUGAGUAACGCGUGGGAAUAUGCCCUUCUCUACGGAAUAGUCCUGGGAAACUGGGGGUAAUACCGUAUACGCGCUUUGGGGUAAAGAUUUAUCGGGCAAGGAUUAGCACGCGUUGGAUUAGGUAGUUGGUGGGGUAAUGGCCUACCAAGCCUAAGAUCCAUAGCUGGUUUGAGAGGAUGAUCAGCCACACUGGGACUGAGACACGGCCCAGACUCCUGCGGGAGGCAGCAGUGGGGAAUCUUAGACAAUGGGAGCAACCCUGAUCUAGCCAUGCCGAGUGAGUGAUGAAGGCCUUAGGGUUGUAAAGCUCUUUUAGCUGGGAAGAUAAUGACGGUACCAGCAGAAGAAGCCCCGGCUAACUCCGUG